GAUGAACGCUGGCGGCGUGCCUAACACAUGCAAGUCGAGCGUGAACCCUUAGAAUGAAACUUCGGUCGAAUGAAGAGGGGGAAAGCGGCGGACGGGUGAGUAACGCGUAGGCAACCUGCCCCGUACAGAGGGAUAGCCUCGGGAAACCGGGAUUAAAACCUCAUAAUACCAUGGUAUCACAUGAUGCAAUGGUCAAAGAUUUAUCGGUAUGGGAUGGGCCUGCGUCUGAUUAGCCUGGUUGGUGGGGUAACGGCCUACCAAGGCAACGAUCAGUAGCCGACCUGAGAGGGUAAUCGGCCACAUUGGAACUGAGACACGGUCCAAACUCCUACGGGAGGCAGCAGUGGGGAAUAUUGCACAAUGGGCGAAAGCCUGAUGCAGCAACGCCGCGUGAGCGAAGAAGGCCUUUGGGUCGUAAAGCUCUGUCGGGAAGGAAGAUAAUGACGGUACUUCCCGAGGAAGCCCCGGCUAACUACGUG
This 479-nucleotide ribosomal RNA is filed under the name uncultured bacterium. Its description in RNAcentral is "bacterial SSU rRNA". It matches the Rfam family "Bacterial small subunit ribosomal RNA", at positions 28 to 507 of the family's 1533-position model. The record is from RNAcentral.